Molecule: ribosomal RNA, 200 nt
Filed under: uncultured bacterium
Lineage: Bacteria
Description: partial 16S ribosomal RNA
Rfam family: Bacterial small subunit ribosomal RNA
Source: RNAcentral
ACGCUCGACACCUACGGAGGCAGCAGUGGGGAAUAUUGCACAAUGGGGGAAACCCUGAUGCAGCGACGCCGCGUGAAGGAAGAAGUAUUUCGGUAUGUAAACUUCUAUCAGCAGGGAAGAAGAAAGUGACGGUACCUGACUAAGAAGCCCCGGCUAACUACGUACCAGCAGCCGCGGUAAUCUGAGCGGGCUGGCAAGGC